Molecule: non-coding RNA, 86 nt
Organism: Acanthosepion pharaonis
Lineage: Eukaryota; Metazoa; Mollusca; Cephalopoda; Sepiida; Sepiidae
Source: the annotation of a GenBank genome assembly
GUUCCUUCACGAUCGCCGAAAUUAAGCAACGUCGUGCCUGGUCAGCACCUAGAUGGGUGACCGUUUGGGAAUACCAGGUGCUGUAA